This 378-nucleotide unclassified non-coding RNA is filed under the name plant metagenome. Its description in RNAcentral is "partial contains 5.8S ribosomal RNA, internal transcribed spacer 2, and large subunit ribosomal RNA". The stretch from base 1 to 105 matches the Rfam family "5.8S ribosomal RNA", at positions 50 to 154 of the family's 154-position model. The record is from RNAcentral.
GAAAUGCGAUAAGUAAUGUGAAUUGCAGAAUUCAGUGAAUCAUCGAAUCUUUGAACACACCUUGCGCUCCUUGGUAUUCCUUGGAGCAUGCCUGUUUGAGUAUCAUGAAAUCUUCAAAGUAAAUCUUUUGUUAACUCAAUUGGUUUCUACUUUGGUAUUGGAGGUCUUUGCAGCUUCACACCUGCUCCUCUUUGUUCAUUAGCUGGAUCUCAGUGUUAUGCUUGGUUCCACUCGGCGUGAUAAGUUAUCUAUCGCUGAGGACACUGUAAAAGGUGGCCAAGGUAAAUACAGAUGAACCGCUUCUAAUAGUCCAUUGACUUGGACAAUACUUUUAUGAUCUGAUCUCAAAUCAGGUAGGACUACCCGCUGAACUUAAGC